GAUGAACGCUGGCGGCGUGCUUAACACAUGCAAGUCGAACGGAAAGGCUCCUGCUUGCAGGGGUACUCGAGUGGCGAACGGGUGAGUAACACGUGGGUGAUCUGCCCUGCACUUCGGGAUAGGCCUGGGAAACUGGGGCUAAUACCGGAUAGGAGCACAUUCUGCAUGGUGUGGUGGAAAGUUUUUCGGUGUGGGAUGAGCCCGCGGCCUAUCAGCUUGUUGGUGGGGUAAUGGCUUACUAAGGGGCCGACGGGUGGCAGGCCUGGGAGGGGGUACGGCAAAAUGGGACCGGGGUACCGGCCCAGACCCUUACGGGGGGCAGAGGUGGGGAUUAUGGAACAUGGGGCGCAGGCCGAUGGCAGCGCGGCGGCGUGGGGGAGGACGGCCUUCGGUUUGUAAACUCCUUUCGCUGGGGACGAGGCGCAGGUGCCGGUACCGGGAGAAGAAGCACCGGCAACCUACGU
This 464-nucleotide ribosomal RNA is filed under the name uncultured bacterium. Its description in RNAcentral is "partial 16S ribosomal RNA". It matches the Rfam family "Bacterial small subunit ribosomal RNA", at positions 28 to 506 of the family's 1533-position model. The record is from RNAcentral.